Long non-coding RNA from Trachymyrmex cornetzi, 292 nucleotides. RefSeq lists it as uncharacterized. The record is from RefSeq and is a predicted model, not a curated record. Lineage: Eukaryota; Metazoa; Arthropoda; Insecta; Hymenoptera; Formicidae. The transcript has 3 exons.
ACAUAGGAAUGUUAGGGAUGAGAUUACUACUUCUUUUUCACCUAAACUGAAUACUAGUGAUUUGUCAUUGCCGGAAAAUCUUCCAAAACCACAAAAAAUCUUAAAAAAUACUUCAAGAAAAAAAAGUAUAGAUAGCAAUGAGUCCAAUGAUACUUUGUCUAGUAAAAGAAGUGUAGAGAGCAAUGAGUCUAAUGCGAUAUUUGGUGAACAACUUCGACUUCUUUUGUCUAAAUCAGGUACAGGUAGAUGUAUAUUGCAACUGGCAAAGCAAAGAUCUUAUUUAAAGCAUGAU